GUCCACGCCGUAAACGAUGGGCACUAGGUGUCGCGGGAAUUGACCCUCGCGGUGCCGUAGCCAACGCGUUAAGUGCCCCGCCUGGGGAGUACGGCCGCAAGGCUAAAACUCAAAGGAAUUGACGGGGGCCCGCACAAGCGGUGGAGCAUGUGGUUUAAUUCGACGCAACGCGCAGAACCUUACCCGGGCUAGAAAAGCCAGGAAUCUGUCCGAAAGGACGGAGUGCCCUUCUGGGGAACCUGGAUCCAGGUGCUGCAUGGCUGUCGU
RNAcentral lists this ribosomal RNA (267 nucleotides) under uncultured bacterium. Its description in RNAcentral is "partial 16S ribosomal RNA". It matches the Rfam family "Bacterial small subunit ribosomal RNA", at positions 793 to 1055 of the family's 1533-position model. The record is from RNAcentral.